RNAcentral lists this transfer RNA (67 nucleotides) under Hypoplectrus unicolor (butter hamlet). RNAcentral's name for it is "tRNA-Cys". Lineage: Eukaryota; Metazoa; Chordata; Actinopteri; Perciformes; Serranidae. RNAcentral also lists the same sequence under 16 other names. The record is from RNAcentral.
AGCUCUGGGGUGUCCCACAUGCUAAAUUGCAAAUUUAGAGUCACAGACUAGUUCUCUGUCAGAGCUU